This 659-nucleotide long non-coding RNA is filed under the name Ananas comosus (pineapple). RNAcentral describes it as "long non-coding RNA (ACOM_LNC014167)". The record is from RNAcentral. Lineage: Eukaryota; Viridiplantae; Streptophyta; Magnoliopsida; Poales; Bromeliaceae.
CUCUAACAAUAAAUAUGAAAACUAAAUAGUUUUAUUUUUUUAAAAAAAUGAAAUUACAGAAAAUUCUUCAGUCAAAAUCCGAUUUUUCACUUUUCCUCCUGUCAUUUAAAAACCUACACCCUGCCAUUAGUGAUCGUUAGGAUUUCGUUUAUAAAAUAUUAUUAGUGUAGUAACCCACGCGCUGCGGCGGAUAAAUAAUAGAAGAACAAACAAAAAAUAUGGAAAAAGAAGAAGAAAGGAGUUUGGAAAAUAAAAAUUCAAGUUUGUUUUAUUUUUUUAGGUAGGGAAAUGCAUGAAUUGAACUAACCAAUAUAACCAUUGAAAUUUAUAACUGUCCAGAAUCACCAUUUAAAGAAAAAACCUACAAAGGUCAUAUGAAGAUGGAGAUGAUAAUGUUGCGAUCAUGACGACGAUGGCGAUGAAAAUAUCAUAGAAGUUUGCAUGAUUUUGCACCCUUUUGGGCAUGAAAUGGUCAUAAUUUGUGAGCCAGAACUGCCACUUCAAUUAUGAAAUCAAAACUAACCUCUAAAUUAAUCAAAAUAAUGCACAUAAAUUAAAUAUUUGAUUGAUACAAUCACCAUACAAAAAAUAAUGCACAUAAAUCAAAUACUUGAUUGAUAUAAUCACCAUAUAAAAAAUAAUGCAAAUAAAUUAAAUUC